UACGUAGGGGGCAAGCGUUGUCCGGAUUUAUUGGGCGUAAAGAGCGUGUUGGCGGCCUGAAAGGUCAGCUGUGAAAACUCGAGGCUCAACCUCGAGACGUCGGUUGAAACCAUCUGGCUAGAGUCCGGAAGAGGAGAGUGGAAUUCCCGGUGUAGCGGUGAAAUGCGCAGAUAUCGGGAAGAACACCCGUGGCGAAGGCGGCUCUCUGGGACGGUACUGACGCUGAGACGCGAAAGCGUGGGGAGCGAACAGG
Molecule: ribosomal RNA, 253 nt
Filed under: uncultured bacterium
Lineage: Bacteria
Description: partial 16S ribosomal RNA
Rfam family: Bacterial small subunit ribosomal RNA
Source: RNAcentral